CUGGGUCUACAGCCGCCGCCCUGAAUACGCCCAAGCUCCUCUGAUCCAGAGCCUAGGAGGGUCAGGCCUGGGGCCUGCUUAAUACUUAGGUGGGAGACCUGCUGGGAAUACCCAGGUUUUAGCCCAGU
Molecule: ribosomal RNA, 128 nt
Filed under: Octodon degus (degu)
Lineage: Eukaryota; Metazoa; Chordata; Mammalia; Rodentia; Octodontidae
Source: RNAcentral